ACUUUUUUUUUUGGCGAGAUUGAAUACUUACCGAUUUCCACAAACAAACAUUCCAACGAACCGUAAGGUCACAUAUUACAAAGUGCGCAGUGUUUCCUUUGUCACUUGAUUGUGUCAUUGUUAGUGAUUCACUGAGUUUUGAUUAACUUCUAUUAAAAUUAAUUACAUUGUUUUGGUACACAGAGCAAUAAAUAACCUCACUUUUUGAAUGUCUCCGUUUGACAGAUCAAUGCGUUACGUUCCAUUCUUUUAGUAUAGAAGAAAUGUAUAAUGAAAUUAAAUAUUCAACACUAAAUUUUUAUAAAACUUAAUAUUUAGGCUCUUUAAUUUAAAUUCUAGCUAUUUCUAGUAUUUUCCUCAAUGUUUAUAUUAAAAUAACAUUGUAAUGUAUCUUGAUCGAUCAUGGGUUCGGAACGUUCUAGAAAUUUGACAUAUUCUGAGCGAAACGAAACGCGCGGGAGACGGUCCGAAUACUGUGAGUGACGUUUCUUCUGUUUCUAAAAGUUAAAUAAAUUAAUUAAAUUUAAAUCGGAGGAGCAGUUUUGUGAGUUCUCAUAUCAAGAUUAUUCAAUAAGAGGCUGGUUGACUCAAAUAGAACUUAUUAGAAAAAGAAAUAAAAAAUAAAAACGAAGAAACAUUUUUAUGGUUUGUUAUUGUUGGGUUCGAUUCGGACCACAAGUCACGGGUGAUGACCGGCGCUUUUUGGAGUGACCUUUUUUUUUGCUCGACCGGCCGUGCGCUUGGACGGAAGUUCGUUAGUGUGUGGUGUUGUGGCAUUCUGAGUCGGCCCUAAAUGUGCCAUUCCCAACUCAAACGGGCAGGGCACGCAGAUUAUUGUUGUUGAAAUAAAGGAAUUCCGGUUGGACACCGAAAUCCCGCUGUUCGCCGAUUUUGCGGACUCACUGCCACGUGCUGAGUUCUGUUACUGAAGAUUGUGUGUGGUUGGGCAGUGCUCGGUGGCGAGCCUCUGCGCUGUUGCUGUCUGUUGUUGAUGUUGCUGAUGUUGCCUCCAUAGCAGGUAUGUUGUGGUUUCUUUCUCAAACUCAUUCGCCUCUCCGCUGAGUUAGGAUGAAUUACUAGAAACGUGGCACUCGGUCACGGGCUACCCUACUUCAUAGGUUGGUUCCGUUUUCUAUUGAGCUUGUCAAUUAUUUUAGUUUACUUUGAAAAAGUAGAUUACCCACAUAACGAUUACAUUUUACCAAAAAGUAAAUUCCUAAAUAAAUUUACCAUUGUGAUGUAUUAUCGAUGGAUUUUGUUGUGUUAACUAUUUUUAGUUCGCUUUAUGAAGGUAAAUGAUGUGAUAAUUACAAUGAUUACAUUUUACCAAAAAGUAAAUUCCUAAAUAAGUUUACCAUUGUGAUGUAUUAUCGAUGGAUUUUGUUGUGUUAACUAUUUUUAGUUCGCUUUGUGAAGGUAGAUGAUAUAAUAAUUACGAUGAUUACAUUUUACCAAAAUGUUACCUGCUAAAUAGAUUUACCAUUGUAAUGAAUUACCGUUGGAUUUUGCUGUGUUCACAUUUGCUCCAUCCUCGAGAGCGAUGGAUUAUUGUUUUUAAAUUGUUUUUACUAUUAUGAAUGUAUUGUGCUGUUGUAUAAUAUAAUUUUUUAUUGUACAAUAGGAGGUGUAUGGUACCGGCUGCUCUGUUGGCACCGGCUAUCAGGUGUUUGGCACCGGCUGUCCCGCAGUGCCAGACGCUUGCUGCGCCCGACGGGUGCGGAGGGGGUUGAGCCGAGUGGUGGCGACUAGCGCGCUAGUAAUCUUAAGUAUUUUUAAUCAGUACCAACCAAACGGCCCAACGACCCAUCCCUUAAUUUUUCUUUUUAAAUAUUUGUGUCUAACCCACAAUUAAAUUGUUGUCAAUUUAAAUA
Ostrinia furnacalis (Asian corn borer) is the source of this 1871-nucleotide long non-coding RNA. RefSeq lists it as uncharacterized. Lineage: Eukaryota; Metazoa; Arthropoda; Insecta; Lepidoptera; Crambidae. The record is from RefSeq and is a predicted model, not a curated record. The transcript has 2 exons.